Molecule: ribosomal RNA, 328 nt
Filed under: uncultured eukaryote
Lineage: Eukaryota
Description: partial 18S ribosomal RNA
Rfam family: Eukaryotic small subunit ribosomal RNA
Source: RNAcentral
CCCUUAGAUGUUCUGGGCUGCACGCGCGCUACACUGAUGCGCUCAACGAGUUUAUGACCUUGCCCGGAAGGGUUGGGUAAUCUUCUUAAAACGCAUCGUGAUGGGGAUAGAUUAUUGCAAUUAUUAAUCUUCAACGAGGAAUUCCUAGUAAGCGCGAGUCAUCAGCUCGUGCUGAUUACGUCCCUGCCCUUUGUACACACCGCCCGUCGCUCCUACCGAUUGGGUGUGCUGGUGAAAUGUUCGGAUCGGCCGUUUGUCGCGGUUUCCGCGGCUCGUGGCUGAGAAGUUCAUUAAACCCUCCCACCUAGAGGAAGGAGAAGUCGUAACA